RNAcentral lists this ribosomal RNA (503 nucleotides) under uncultured bacterium. RNAcentral describes it as "partial 16S ribosomal RNA". It matches the Rfam family "Bacterial small subunit ribosomal RNA", at positions 30 to 523 of the family's 1533-position model. The record is from RNAcentral.
AUUGAACGCUGGCGGCAGGCUUAACACAUGCAAGUCGAGCGGGGUGAUGGUGCUUGCACUAUCACUUAGCGGCGGACGGGUGAGUAAUGCUUAGGAAUCUGCCUAUUAGUGGGGGACAACAUCUCGAAAGGGAUGCUAAUACCGCAUACGUCCUACGGGAGAAAGCAGGGGAUCACUUGUGACCUUGCGCUAAUAGAUGAGCCUAAGUCGGAUUAGCUAGUUGGUGGGGCAAAGGCCUACCAAGGCGACGAUCUGUAGCGGGUCUGAGAGGAUGAGCCGCCACACUGGGACUGAGACACGGCCCAGACUCCCACGGGAGGCAGCAGUGGGGAAUAUUGGACAAUGGGGGGAACCCUGAUCCAGCCAUGCCGCGUGUGUGAAGAAGGCCUUAUGGUUGUAAAGCACUUUAAGCGAGGAGGAGGCUCUUUUGGUUAAUACCCAAGAUGAGUGGACGUUACUCGCAGAAUAAGCACCGGCUAACUCUGUGCCAGCAGCCGCCGUAA